RNAcentral lists this ribosomal RNA (462 nucleotides) under uncultured bacterium. Its description in RNAcentral is "bacterial SSU rRNA". It matches the Rfam family "Bacterial small subunit ribosomal RNA", at positions 25 to 518 of the family's 1533-position model. The record is from RNAcentral.
CAGAACGAACGCUGGCGGCAGGUCUUAGGCAUGCAAGUCGAACGGAUGACAGAGAGCUUGCUCUCUGAAGUCAGUGGCGCACGAGUGAGUAACGCGUGGGAAACUGCCCUUCACUGGGGAAUAACGUUUGGAAACGAACGCUAAUACCGCAUACGCCCGCAAGGGGAAAGAUUUAUCGGUGAUGGAUGUGCCCGCGUUGGAUUAGCUAGUUGGUGGGGUAAUGGCCUACCAAGGCGAUGAUCCAUAGCUGGUCUGAGAGGACGAUCAGCCACGCUGGAACUGAGACACGGUCCAGACUCCUACGGGAGGCAGCAGCUAAGAAUAUUGGGCAAUGGAGGAAACUCUGACCCAAGCCAUGCCGCGUGAAUGAAGAAGGCCUUCGGGUUGUAAAGUUCUUUUAGUCAUGAAGAUGAUGACAGUAGUGACAGAAAAAGCACCGGCUAACUUCGUGCCAGCCGCCGC